This 1203-nucleotide long non-coding RNA is filed under the name Cyanistes caeruleus (blue tit). RNAcentral describes it as "lncRNA (ENSCCEG00000005985.1)". Lineage: Eukaryota; Metazoa; Chordata; Aves; Passeriformes; Paridae. The record is from RNAcentral.
GGUUUAUUCAGUGUGGCUGUUGCUAUGAGAGUGAAGAGAUUUGCUGGCCCUGAAGCAGGGAGAGGACACAGAUGCUGUUUUGUUCUGUAUCAGUUACAGAUUCUGGUCACUUGUGGAGGACAUGCUGCUUUCUGCCCCUAACAGGCACAUGGUGGCCAAGGGAAGAUUUUAAUCUCUGGAUCUGCACUGGUGGUUCUAACUGAGGUUUAUUACCUGUGGGGAAGAGAAAAACAACCUCAGGAGUGCUCUCCCAUUCAGAGCCAGUCUAAGGCUCUGUUUGUACUGAUGAGAAAGUAUCUUUGCACCCCUGUUCUCAACAGGAUCAUGCUGGGCCAUCUCCAGUCAUUUUUUGCUGAAAAAAAUAAUGUGUAAAUAGGGAAGGAAAUAAGGACUUGAUUCUCUCUCUCCAGGUGAAGUAAAAAGAUUGUAACUAUAUAAAACAGGAAAGUUCCUGGUGCUGUUGAACUCUCUUUUGAAAGUUUGUUCCUACCACAAUUAGGUUUUGGCUGUUGUUUUUCAGGGCGACAGCACCAGAAUCAUUGCCCAGAGCAUUGAUUCAGAAAUUAAUUCUAUUUCAGGGAGGAUGACAGGUUUUGAGAUAGCCAAGCAAACAACAAGCUGAAGUACUGCCCAUAAUGUGGAGUGCUGUGAGUGCCAUAUUAAACACAAUUUUAAUCAGUUGUAAUGAAGGGGAAAUGGUAGAAACACAUGUUCUUCAUCCCUGUUCAGCUCUUAUAACAUUCAAGAGCUACAUCCAGAGCUGAAGCCCCAGUACAAGACAGAAGCCACCACUCUAAGAGCAUAUGGAAGGUGAGGGCCUCUGCUUCAUUAUCCACUCAAUAACUCUUCCACUUCCAAGGGAAUAUUAAAUGAAGGAGGCAUUUGUAAACAAGAACACGCAGAGCCCCAAGCCAGGCGCACAAGAGAGAGAGAGGCACUGGGAAAGAACAUAAGUCUUUAGCCACUUAUUGAUGGGACCACCAAGGACCAUCAGGCACAGCUUUGGAGAGGAAUCUGUAACUGAUAAGGAGGAAGCAAGAGGAACAGGACAACUGAGGGUAUUUGAGGUGGGCCUGAGGGACUGAACUUAAGGAAUGUUUAGUGUGUCAGGGCAAAACAAGAGAGAAGGAAAAAUUAGGACAUUAAAAGGGUGUAAAAGAAGGGUCAGUCAAAUGUAACACCUCACUGAUCAGUGUAUUUGGC